Molecule: ribosomal RNA, 408 nt
Filed under: uncultured bacterium
Lineage: Bacteria
Description: bacterial SSU rRNA
Rfam family: Bacterial small subunit ribosomal RNA
Source: RNAcentral
UAGCCUUGACAUUGAUUGAAUUUUCCAGAGAUGGAGAAGUGCCUUUCGGGGAACAUGAAAACAGGUGCUGCACGGCUGUCGUCAGCUCGUGUCGUGAGAUGUUGGGUUAAGUCCCGCAACGAGCGCAACCCUCGUCGUUAGUUGCUAACAGGUUAAGCUGAGCACUCUAGCGAGACUGCCUUCGCAAGGAGGAGGAAGGUGAGGACGACGUCAAGUCAUCAUGGCCCUUAUGGCUAGGGCUACACACGUGCUACAAUGGGGCGUACAGAGAGUUGCGAUACCGCGAGGUGGAGCCAAUCUCAUAAAGCGUCUCUCAGUUCGGAUUGUUCUCUGCAACUCGAGAACAUGAAGCUGGAAUCACUAGUAAUCGUAGAUCAGCAACGCUACGGUGAAUACGUUCCCGGGUCU